Molecule: ribosomal RNA, 499 nt
Filed under: uncultured bacterium
Lineage: Bacteria
Description: partial 16S ribosomal RNA
Rfam family: Bacterial small subunit ribosomal RNA
Source: RNAcentral
GACGAACGCUGGCGGCGUGCUUAACACAUGCAAGUCGAACGGGCCCGCCCCUGUUUUUGGGGGUGGGUUGAGUGGCGAACGGGUGAGUAUCACGUGAGUAACCUGCCCCCUGCUCCUGGAUAACUGCUUGAAAGGGCGGCUAAUACGGGGUGUGCCGGCUGGUCCGCAUGGGCCUGGUCGGGAUAGUUUCAUCUUCGGGUGUUUCGGUGGGGGAUGGGCUUGCGGCCUAGCAGCUUGUUGGUGGGGUGAUGGCCCACCAGGGCGGUGACGGGUAGCCGGCCUGAGAGGGUGGGCGGCCGCACUGGGACUGAGACACGGCCCAGGCUCCGGCGGGAGGCAGCAGUGGGGGGUAGUGGACAAGGGGCGGAAGCCUGAUGCAGCGACGUCGCGUGAGGGAUGGAGGCCUUCGGGGUGGGAACCUCUUUCUGCGGUGGUGAAGGCCCUGUCCGUUGCGGCGGGGUUGACGGUAGCCGGGUAUGAAGCGCCGGCUAACUACGUG